Molecule: long non-coding RNA, 7296 nt
Organism: Equus caballus (horse)
Lineage: Eukaryota; Metazoa; Chordata; Mammalia; Perissodactyla; Equidae
Source: RefSeq, a predicted model, not a curated record
CCCUUUCUUCUCAUAACCUCCGUGCCCCCGUGAUGGCAAGGCCCGGCCCUCCCGAUGCCACACACUCCUGCAGGCAGGCCACGCCCUCCCGCAGCCCAGCCAGGCCGACUCCACCCGCCGUUCCGGUCACAGCCCCACCGGCCCUCUCGGAGCGGGGCGCAGCCUGGGCACAGGCCUGUGGGCAGGACAGGCUGGGUGUACAGCCCCGCGGCCCGGGCAGCGCCCGAGGUCGGGGAAGGAAGCCCCGCCUCCUGAGCCCCGUUCCGGAGUCGGGACCCCGACUCUCUCCCGAGGGUCUGGGGACAGGAGGGGAGACUGGCGCCACCCGCGUCUUAGGGGUCCCACAGCGGCUGAGGGAGGGGUUCCAGGGAUCUGUGACGACGGACCCUGGGCUUGGGUGUCAGAUCAACGACAUACCGAAGUUUGAAUCCCAGCUGUGUGAGCCUGGACAAGUUCUUCAACCUCUCUGAGCCCUUGCUUCCUCCUCCGUAAAAUGGGAACUCCCCGGGCUGCUAUAAGGAACUCUUAUAAUUCAAUAGCAAGAAAACAAAUAACCUGAUUGAAAAAUGGGCAAAGAAACAGAGACAUUUCUCCAAAGAAGACACAUAAAUGGCCAACAGCUGUCCUGGUGUAGGAGCGCCCCGCCACCCUCCGUGCUGACAUCUGGUGUAGGGCACAGUAUGUGACAUGAUGGAACAGGGCAACGCGUCAUAUCACAGUGGAAACGUGCCCUGAAGAGGCUGCCACUGAGACUGUGUGGGGGGUGGAGAAGGAACAAGGCAUGAAAGCUAAGGAGCCAGAAGCUGGUGUGUACAAAAUUCUUCCAGGCGUCAAACAGGUAAAAUCGUAAGCAGAGGAUUUGGUUGUCAUUAACCCUAGUCAACAUGGAAGUUCUUUCAGGAAUGUUCUUGCUAAGGCUGUGCAUGUAAUUACAAACACCAACUGUUUUUUCUUUUUUGAUGGACAGUGGGCAAAAUGAAACUUAUCAGGAUUCUCAUAGAGCACAAAUAUGUAACAGGAAGACAAAUGAGGAUGCAUGUGUGAGUGGAGUCCUAGGUUUCAUGCAUCAGAUCACAUCGUAGCAUAUCUGACACAUCUUGUCUUGACAAAGUCUGGUGGUUGCAGAAAAAAUAAAGUGCCACAUUGCCACCAAUGCAGUGAAACAGCCUGAAGAAAACACACAUACACACCACAGAGCAAGGACGCAAAACAAAGGAUGCACUCAAGAGAGAAAGCAUGACAUGAAAUAAGAUGCCAGAAUGAGGACUAAACCUAUCCAUCAUGCGCCAUCAAUAAAUGCAAAUGGGGUAAGCCUUGUUUGGAAAGGAAAUCCAUGGUGUGCCUUUGUAUCAGACAUCUCUUAAUGCCACAGCAGAGCCCUCAUCCCCAUAAGCCUCCAGGGCCUUUUACCUAUCCUGUCCUAGCCUCUCAGCAGUCACCAGCUCUGCUUGGGCCCCGAAUGACUUCAUGCAGAGACAACCCCCCACACCUCACCUCAUGGCCACCCUGUACCACGUGUCCCCAGAGACACUUGGUGCCAAGGGUGGUCUUUAAAAGAAGACUCUUAGGGCAGGAUUGUGAAAUUGGAGUACCGACUGUUCUGAAGGCAAUAGGGACACUAUUGCUGGUGGUAAGUGGGUGGUGAUAACCCUCGGCAUGAAGUGGCAUCACUAUUACUAAGGUUUUCAUCUGUGGUUAAUUGGGGUGAGGUGCGGGUUGAAGGUGAAAUUGAGCUGGGAAAUGGAAUGCCUGUACCGUUUGUCUGGACGGGGCCUAUAAUAAUUAUAAGAAAUGUAGAGUAAGCCGGCUUUUAUUGACAGCAUAAAAAACCUUGCGGAAAAGAAAGCGAUAGGCUCAGGGUAGCUAACAGCCAACUUAAGGACGUGUAAAAGCCAUGGGGAGCUUUAUGGUGGGUUUUAAGGAGGCCCUCAUCUCCUGCAGCUUCAGGGAAACUGCUAAAAGUCAGGCUCAGCAGCUGACCGUAAGGGUGACAGCUGCCAAAGGAGGCUGAACGUGCAGCUGUGACAGAUCACCUGUCAGAUUCAGGCUCUACCAGAAAAAGAGUGGGACCCUGGGAUAGGAACAUUGGGUAGAUGAGCCAGAAAACCUUGAACCCUCUGAUACCCUGGAACUCUCCAGGCCAGCAGAAGCGGCCAGCCCCUGCCCUAAUGUGGAGAUGGUGCAAAGACCUCCCUGGAAGCAGAUGCCUUGCAAGAUGUCAUUUGCUUUUCGUAAGAUCUGCGUCCAUCACCACUCAUUGCCUCCAGGCCAACAGUCAGAAUCGGAUCGCCACAACCUGAGCAGGAAGGUACAGUUCCUACUCCCAGAGGAUCAGCUUACACACCCCAGGAAUCACAGGAGCUGGCCAGCACGUGCCUUGGGGAGCUAAGGAGAGCCAUGUGGCAGUGGAUCUGAGAUGAGCGACCAGGGGGAGUGGAAUCUAAGGCUGGAUUAGAGAGAAUUUAUUGAUGUGGGGCCUUCACCUGCGAUGUGGCAUUCAAUACUCUAGCAAGGAUACCUGGAGCUAGUCUUAAUAGUAUGUGCAGAUGGCUACAAAACUUCCACAUGACAAUGAGGUGGGGAUGCCAGAACUUUCUUCACACAGUAUUGAGGAAGUGGUUACAAGGCUCAAAGAGAGGAGAAUUUUAGAAGGGAUUUACUAGGUAAGAUCUGAGACCGCACCAUCUGACUAGGCCCAGGAAGGCCCAGAGGCAACGAGGAAGGACUGGACCACUGCUGUCUUUGAGAUGCCCUGUGGGGUUGAUGGGAAUAGAUACUACCAUGGAACCAAACGCCCAAGUAAAAGAGGAUAUACACAUAUAUCAAGAGUUGGUGAGUUAAAGGCUGAUGUCAUCCAUUGCUAUGGAAAAUGGCGGCCCCUUGUCAAUCCCCAGGCCUGAGUCAGUUUUCAGACCCCAAGUCCAUUGAAAGGGGGCCUGAGUUCCCUCAAGGAACACGGAGAGGUUUUUUCUCACACCAACCACUUCAAUUCUCUGACACCAUCCAGGUGUCCUACAAUUCAAUUCAACUAGGACACUUCUAGGAUCUGGUGUCAGACUCCAUAGGUUGAAGGGCUCCAUCCCACAUGGCUGCCCUCUGCUUCGGACGCCAGUCUCAAGCAUCGGGUCCCCAGGUUAUCCACACUUCUGUCUGACUUGACCACAAACUCUGGGGUUCCCACAGCUCCCCCCCUCAGGUUAGGUAAUUUAUUAGAACAACUCACAGAACUUAGGAAGAUGCUAUAUUUACUAUUACGUACAGUUGUUAGAAAGGAUAUGAAUGAACAGCCAGAAGAUGGGCAGAGGGCGAGGUCUGGAACAGUCCCAAGUGCAGGAGCUUCUGUCCCCUUGGAGUUGGGGUGUGACCCGCUCCUGGCACGUGGAUGCGUUCACCAACCCGGAAGCUCUCCAGGCCUCAUCAUUUAGGGUUUUUUAUGGAGGUUUCAUCACAUAGGCCACAUUGAUGAAAUCGUUGGCCAGUGGUAACUCUCAAUCUCCAGUCCAUGUGCCCUCCCUGGAGGUUGCGAGGUGGGGCUUAAAGUUCCAAGCUUCUAGUCAAGCCUUGGUCUUUCUGGCAACCAGCCCCUAUCUUGAAGCUGUCUAGGGCCCCACCAAGACUCACCUCAUUAGAACAAAUGAUGCUCCUAUCACCCUUAUCACUCAGAAAAUUCCCAGGUUUUUAGAAGCUUUGUGCCAGGAACCAGGAGAAACACUAAAUAUUUUUCUUAUUACACUACAAACACCACCACAAGUAUAUAUGUAAAUAGUCUCCCAGUCCUUCUACCAAAGGGAUCUGCGGCCAUUGACUGGAUAACUGUGCCCUGGGGUAAGGGGCUGUCCAGAAUUUUAAAGAACUGUGAAACAUGGGGAUCUGCUGACGCGAAUACCCAAGGACCCAGAACACCAUUAUGAUUGUCCUAUUAGAGUGGGCUUCUAGGAGUUAGGCAGCAAAUGGAAUUUUGACCCAGCUCUAUCUUUCAGUUGGUCUAACGGGUCUGUGGAAUGACCCUGUGAUAAUUCCCCUAGUUCCCAAAUUUAUAAUCUGGGAAGAUUUACUUGGAAGCUAGCAGGAAGCUCACAUUGGUUCGCUGACCUGAGGACCAGGGGCCACUGUGGUGGGAAAAGCCUGGGGAAGCCUCUGAUGCUGCCUUCUCAUCCCCUAGACAAGGUGGUAAAUCAGAAGUAAUAGCCCACCCUGGGAGGAAUUGCAGAGUAGUGCCACUCUCAAAGACUUAAAGGACGCAAGGGUGCUGGGCUCCAUCAUAUUAUUGUUCAGUUUAACCUUUUGUUCGACCUUGUAAUGGUUGAUUUUUGCUCUGAUACUCCCAUUGGGCUGGCCUGGACCUUGUCAGAUCUGCUUCACUCUCUGAGGCUCUCCCUGGCCCAUCCUGCUUCCUCUCCACCUUUCCAUUCAUAGGUGUUGGGUCUGCAUUGUGGUCUGAAGGCUUUGCUUGCCCAAUCCUGCUUCUCCCUCUUUUUAGCUUUCACAGGUGUUAGGUCACAAUAAACCCCUUGCGUUCCAAUCCCAUCUCAGUGUGAGCUCCUGGAGGCCCCUCCUGGCAAGCCCCAAUGUCAGUUGCCCUGCCUGGAUCAGAUCAACCCAGCCUCUGGCACUUUGUUGGCAGCCACAGAGCUGAUGAGUGCAUUCUUCUUGAUCCUCAUUAGUUGAGAGAAUCAAAAUCUGCUUGCUUUUAUGUGGGAAGGACAGCAGUCCACAGUCACAUUUUUUCUCCUGGGCUAUGACAUCUCUUUUGCUCUGUGUCACAAAUCAGAUCACAGACACCUCAAUCAUCUCAUCCUACAGAACCUUGGCUUAGUCUGUUAUGCUGAUGACGUCAUCCUAAUUAGAUGUGGUGAGCAGAAAUUGGCAAGUACCCUAGACGCUUUAGUAAAACACAUGUGACAGAGAGAGAAAGCCCGUAAAGAAUUCAAAAGUCUGCUACAUUGGUGAAAUGUCUAGGAAUCUAGUCUUGCAUACACUGAGACAUUUCUAUUAAAGCAAAGGACAAACUGUUGCACCUCGCACCUAAGAAAGAGCACCGGGCCUGGAGGGCCUCUUAGGGACUGGAGUCAGUGGACAUCACCCUUGGCAACACUGCUGUGAUCUGCAUGUGGGGGGCGCUCAGAAGACUGCCAGUUUCAAGGUCCCAGAGCAAGAGAAGACUGACAAAGACAAGGCAGCAAAAACUCAGAUCUCUUGGGGAUGAAGGUGUGGGUCACUCUAUCAGGCAAAGCAGCCAAAGCACGAGCUGAGGAGAAAGGAAACCCAGGAUGGGUGGUGGGACAUGCUGACUAUAAAUCACAGCCUCGGGGACAGCCGGGAGUGUAGCUGGUUUCAUUGAUCUUCUUGCCUUAAGUCUUUUCAGAGAUGUGUGACUGGCCACCUCCUUGAAGGAAAUUCUGAGACUAAGGGUCUCACAAAACCCAGCAUAGGAUAAAGGUGCCAUUGCAAGUCAGCAGGGAAGAGAGACACAGAUCAAUAAAUGGCAUCAGGACAAUUGAAUCCCAAGAGAUUGAAGAUAAAAAUUUUAAAGUACUGUAAAAAUGCCAGAAGAAAGCAUGGUAAAAAGUUUAUUAACCUCAGUGUGGGAUGAAUUUUCUAAACAAAAUCUAAAGUCUCAGCUGUAAAAGAAGAGCCUGGUAAAUUUGGCUCCCUAAAUCUUAGAAUUUCUGCAUGGAUGUGCCAAUGGCAUGAAAACGGGAGUACCAUUGUUCUAGAUUUAUAAAUGGCUUGUAAAUAAAUUAAAAGAUGCUCAACCUUAUUCCUAAUUAGAGACAGGCAAAUAAAACCAUCGAUGGGGUUGGGCAUCUUUUAAUAUAGUUUAUAAGCCAUUUAUAUUUAUAUUCUCUGUGAAAGCCAAUUUUUGCUUUCAUCCGUAUUUUCCCACAGUUUGGUAAAGAUCAGAACAUUUGAUAAUAUAAAUUUGGCUACAAGGUGGAUAAAUAGACACUCACAUACGUUUCUGGGGAAAGUACAUGCAUUUAUUGCUGUGACUUUUUUGAAAGGACACUUGACAAUGUCUAUUAAAACUACAAACACACAUGCCUUUUGACCCAGCAAUUCUAUUUCUAGAAAUAGAAAUAUUUCUAGGAAUAUAUUCCUACAUGUGUGGAAUGUCAUAUAUGUGAGCACUGUUUGGAAUAGCAAAGUCCUAGAAACAACCUAAAUGUCCAUCCAGGGGGGACUGGCUAAACAAAUGAUGAAAUAUCAAUUCAAAGAAAUACUACGCAGCCAUAAAAAAGAAUGAGACGUAUAUAUAGUACACAACAUAUGUGUGUUUGCAUGUAAUGUCAAGAUAUUUCACUCUUGUUAAGUAAAAUCAGCAAGGUACAGUAAGUACAGUGUGCCCAACAAGUCGCUCAUUCAACAAAUGUUGGAGACUUUCUCUAUGCCAGGAACUGUCCUAGGUACUGGAGAAAUAGAGGUACAAGUGAGCUGAGCGGUAGGGUUUGGAAUCUAUGUUUUACUCUAAAACUUGUUCUCAUUAUGUUAAAAAAGGAUAUAUAUUUAUAUAUAUAAAUGCAUUUCUUUUUGCAUGUGUGCUUGUACAUAAUCUUUCUGGAAGGAGAAACAAGAAACUGAUACUAGCAACUGCCUCAGGGGGACUGGGGCUCCGGGGUGGGAAGCUGACUUAUGUUUCACAGUGUAUCUUUUUAUGCUGUUUGAUAUUUUUACCAUGUACAUGAAUUAUUUUUUCAAUUAAAAACUAGUUAAUUUUUUAAACUGUGGAAACAUCUUAAUAUUCAAUCUCAGCUGUAAUCAGAGAAAUGCAAAUUAAAAACAUCAGGGAAAUAAGAUUUUUUAGGAAGGAUUUAAAAACUCAUAAAGCUCACAGUUGAUGAGGAUGUGAGAAAAUGGAUUUGUGUAUUGUUUGCAUGUUUCAUUUGCGGGAACGAGCAUUGGUAAACCUUUCCUGAGGAUUGCUGGAUGUUUUUUAUAUCAAAGGCCUUAACUUUUUUAGUAUAUCCUUGUUCCAACCAUUCUGCAUCCACAAAUUUCCCCAGAGGAAAGAGUCAGGGACAGGUGCAAAGAUGAAGCUAUAAGGCUAUUAGACUCAGCGUGUGAAUAAUAGGGAAAUUAUAGGAGCAAUUUAAAUUCUAAUAAGAAUCAUUUAUUUAAACUAUGGUAUAUCCGUACCAUGGAAUUGUAUGACUAUACUUAAAAUACUGUUAAAGCAUAUUGAAUGACAUGCAAAAAUGGUAUCAAUUUAUUGCUAGGUGAAAAUGAAGUUAUAAAAGAGAGUGUUCCCUAUUCCAAUUUUGGCACAAAUAUAUAUAUACACAUACACACAUAUAU